RNAcentral lists this ribosomal RNA (439 nucleotides) under uncultured bacterium. RNAcentral describes it as "partial 16S ribosomal RNA". It matches the Rfam family "Bacterial small subunit ribosomal RNA", at positions 339 to 795 of the family's 1533-position model. The record is from RNAcentral.
CUACGGGAGGCUGCAGUGGGGAAUAUUGCACAAUGGGGGAAACCCUGAUGCAGCAACGCCGCGUGAGUGAUGACGGCCUUCGGGUUGUAAAGCUCUGUCUUCAGGGACGAUAAUGACGGUACCUGAGGAGGAAGCCACGGCUAACUACGUGCCAGCAGCCGCGGUAAUACGUAGGUGGCAAGCGUUGUCCGGAUUUACUGGGCGUAAAGGGAGCGUAGGCGGACUUUUAAGUGAGAUGUGAAAUACCCGGGCUUAACCUGGGUGCUGCAUUUCAAACUGGAAGUCUAGAGUGCAGGAGAGGAGAAUGGAAUUCCUAGUGUAGCGGUGAAAUGCGUAGAGAUUAGGAAGAACACCAGUGGCGAAGGCGAUUCUCUGGACUGUAACUGACGCUGAGGCUCGAAAGCGUGGGGAGCAAACAGGAUUAGAUACCCCGGUAGUC